CAGCCGCGUAAUUCCAGCUCCAAUAGCGUAUAUUAAAGUUGUUGCAGUUAAAAAGCUCGUAGUUGAAUUUCGGGAUCAGUAUGUUGGUCGUGCUUCGGUACGUACUGUCAUUACUGGUUUCUACCUUCUGAAGAACCUUGAUGUCAUUAAUUUGGUGUCUUGGGGAAUCAGGACUGUUACUUUGAAAAAAUUAGAGUGUUUAAAGCAAGCAUACGCUUGAAUACAUUAGCAUGGAAUAAUGAAAUAGGACGUUUGAUUCUAUUUUGUUGGUUUCUAGGAUCGACGUAAUGAUUAAUAGGGAUAGUUGGGGGCAUUAGUAUUCAAUUGUCAGAGGUGAAAUUCUUGGAUUUAUUGAAGACUAACUACUGCGAAAGCAUUUGCCAAGGAUGUUUUCAUUAAUCAAGAACGAAAGUUAGGGGAUCGAAGACGAUCAGAUACCGUCGUAGUCUUAACCAUAAACUAUGCCGACUAGGGAUCGGAUGAUGUUAUUUUUAAUGACUCAUUCGGCGCCUUACG
This 516-nucleotide unclassified non-coding RNA is filed under the name uncultured Glomeromycotina. RNAcentral describes it as "SSU rRNA". It matches the Rfam family "Eukaryotic small subunit ribosomal RNA", at positions 571 to 1092 of the family's 1831-position model. The record is from RNAcentral. Lineage: Eukaryota; Fungi; Glomeromycota.